ACAAAAUAGAGUUUUACACAGAGGAGAACACAUGUUGUUUCUUCUGAUACAAGUUAUCUGUGUAAACACCCUGACCUAAAACAUCAUAAGUUCCGCGUUGGGCUCGUUUCGAUUGUACGAACAUGUCAUCCACUAAAAUGAAGAGGAAACUUGAAGAGAUGAGCGUUGAUGAGUUUCUAGAGAAUGGUAUUGAUUCCAGCGAUGAUGAAGAAAACAUUGUUGAAGAGAAAGCAAUAUCAACCACAAAGAAGAUGAAGAGUGGAAAAAAAUCUGUUGCGCAUCAACACAAGAACUCUUUGGAAAAGUUAAAAAAAUCUGAUCCUGAAUUUUACCAGUUUCUGCAGGAAAAUGAUGAAGAACUUUUGAACUUUGACCCAAACGAGAUGAGCUCUGAUGAAGACGAUCCUAUUCAUAAACCACCAUCUAGUUUACAAGAAGCAAGUGAGGAUAGUGAUGAAGAAGUGGAGUUGGAAAAAGAAAGCAAGUCUUCUAAGAUAAAUCGCAACCGAGGCAAACCAGUCACUCUCAGUAUGAUAAGCAGAUGGACACAGGCAUUGAAGGAAACUUACUCUCUUAAAGCAUUCCAUGAAGUUACUCGUGCCUUCAAAGCGGCUGUAAGGGAAACCAGCUCAGAAAAGGAGAAGAGAGGAUUUGCAAGAUAUAGAGUUGAAGGUAGUGAAGUUUUCAACGCUCUCAUCAAUAUGUGUGUCCGCCAUGUUGCCAACACUCUACAACAUGCCCUGAACCUACAAGAAAAUAAGGAGAAAAAACUGCUUCGUCCGGCAACAUCAAAGAAAUGGAAGAGAGUGGAAGGGGAUGUUAAAACAUAUUUGACAGAUAUGAUUAAGCUUGUCGGCCAGGUGACAGAGCCCUCUAUAAUCAGUGUUGUCCUCCGUCACAUCAAUUCAAUGAUUCCUUAUGCCUCCUGCUUUUCCAAAGUAGCAACGACACUUAUAAAGAAACUUGUUCAGAUUUGGAGCACUGGGGAGGAAUCUGUCCGAAUUCUUGCAUUUCUGUCACUGUACAAGAUCACACGCUACAUGCCGAAAACCAGACUGGAGUUUAUCUUAAAGCAAAUGUACCUUGCGUUUGUACGAAAUUCAAAAUUCACAUCCGUCACUACUCUACCACUGAUCAACUUCAUGCAGCGCUCUAUAACCGAGAUGUUUGGUAUCAAUGUAGCCGUGACCUAUCAGCAUGGAUUUGUGUACAUACGUCAACUUGCUAUCCACUUGCGCAAUGCUAUCACCGUGAAAGAAAAGGAUACCUACCAGUCUGUGUACAAUUGGCAGUAUAUUCAUUGCCUGACCUUGUGGUGUCGUGUUCUUGGUACGAUCCAGCCAUGCGAUGCCCUACAACCUCUCAUUUAUCCUUUGGUCCAGACAGCUGUUGGGGUCAUCAAAUUGAUACCAUCUGAACGAUAUUAUCCUCUGAGAUUUCAUGUUGUAAGAGCUUUGAACCUUUUAUCGGACUCAACAGGUACAUUUGUGCCCCUUUUGCCUUUCAUAUCAGAGGUUCUUGAACAAACAAAAUUUAACAAUAAGAACUCCAGUGUCAGUAUAAAGCCGAUAAAUUUUGCUGUGAUAUUAAAGCUGUCAAAGCCCCAACUAAAUGAGAGAGCUUUCAGGGAUGGUGUAAUUGAACAGGUGUGCGACUUACUCCUGGAUCACAUGCAAAUUCACAGUCAUUGUAUUGGUUUUCCAGAACUUGCGUUGCCAGCAGUCAUCCAGUUGAAGCGAUUUUUAAAAACCUGCAAAGUGACCAAUCAUAGCAAACCCAUCAAAAUAAUUCUUGAGAAAAUUCAGGAGAAUAUUGCCAUGGUAACAAAGAAACGUGACACGGUGACAUUUAGCAUAGCAGAUAGUCAAGCUGUUUCUAAGUGGGAGAAGAAUUUGAAAGACCAGUUAACACCCUUAAUGAAACACUACACAAUGUACAAGAGGCAGAGGCAGCAAGAACUCCUGGCAGAGGAAGCUGGCAAAGACAGGCUAAUUGAUGAUGAAAUACCAACAAUUGAAAGGAAAGAGAAGCAGAAAAAGGAAGACAGAGUGGAGUUUAGUGACCUUUUCAACUCUGGAAGUGAUUCUGAAGAUGAUAUAUUAGAGAGAGCAGAAAGGAAACUUCAAAGGAAGAUGCAGAAUUUGUCAGAGUCUGAUGAGUCUGAAGAUGACCUGAGUGAUCUUGAUGACAUCGGAACCUCUGAUCUUGAAGACUUAUCAGAAGAUGAGGAAAGUGGUGAGGAAAAUGACGAGGAAGAGGAAAAACCUGCUGGAAGAAGGAAAAAAGAAAGAACAGCUCAAACAAAUUUUAAGAUAAAUGGAAUGAAAAGUAAAGAGAAAUAUCAACCAAGUAAUUCUGGCAAUGAUGCUGAAGAUAUUGUAGAGGACUUCCAUUUCUCAUCUGAUUCUGAAGAUGACUAAGGAUUAGUCCUACUAUUAAUCAUUAUAGGAUACAUUACUUCAUAGAGCAAAACAUUCUUAAGUUACAUUUGAUUUUACUCAACCAAUUCAUAUCUAUUUGUGGAAUUUUUUUAAUAAGAAUGGCCAUCGGAGAUGAAUACAAGAGUCAUAUAGCCACAUACUCAUUGCAAAAAUGUCAUCAAAAAAUUAGCAUUUUAAUACCAAACAUGAAAUAUGGAUUAUUAAUAGGGAGGUUUCGAUUGGGAACACAUACAGUUAAGCCGGGCACUGACUGCGUCGCACAAUGGUAGCAGUCGGAAUGGAUCGUCAUUAAAAACGAUCCGUUGGGCACAUCUUCGCGUUGCAUUCUUCACAGAAUCGCGUCAGCCGACAACCGUCAUGCGCAGUGAGUGCCCGACUUUAGUAUGACAUGUACGUCAUCAUUUAUGACUUCAUACGCCGGAAAAGUUUGUAUUUCUAAUAGAAUCUUCGUUUUUUUUCACAUUUUACAGCAAGUUUUAAAAAAUAAAUGUAUCUUUAAUACGUACAUGCUAUUUUUGUGACUUUUUUUGAGGUAGUAAAAAACGUUGGUGGUUGGUGGUGUCAGGAUUUUCCUGUAGGCCUAGUUAGGGUCCUCCCCAGCUCGGUCUAUAGUAGCCAGGCUUUUUUGGGCCACAAAAUGACCAACUCUUCUGGGCAACAAGGGAAGGAGUAUUAUUUGGCUACCACUUCCAAUUUCCAAAACCUUGCAUACUAAAAUUUAGGCAAUGCCAAAAUUUGAUUUUGAGAAGCAUGAUGAUAGAAGAAAGUGGAAUAAGCCUAGCCUAGGCUAGGCCUAAGGCCCUACGCUUAAAUUUCACUGUCAUUGGGAAAAGCACAGCAUGGCUACAAACCGUUAUGUAUAGCUAAACCUAUGCGUACAUGUAUUCAUUUGUGUGUGAAACCUCUCUAAUAUUGAUAGAUGGCAUUACAAGUUUUAUAUUGGUCUUUAAAUCAUGUUCCUAGGUAUGAGUUCAAUCAAGGUAAUAUUUGGAAAUUCUGACGGCUGAAAACUUAUUUUGGAGAUACCUCACCUGAAAAUGCACUUAACUAUAAUACAAUUUAUAUUUUUUGGUAAAAUAUAUGAAUUACUAGUUGUAAUGUGUUUUAGAUGUUUAAAAAAAAAUCCCUCUAUGUUCAUUAAAGUAUUCUAUAUACAAAUAAAACAACCAAAGCUCUUAAUUA
RNAcentral lists this unclassified non-coding RNA (3623 nucleotides) under Anneissia japonica. RNAcentral describes it as "nucleolar complex protein 2 homolog, transcript variant X2". Lineage: Eukaryota; Metazoa; Echinodermata; Crinoidea; Comatulida; Comatulidae. The record is from RNAcentral.